Long non-coding RNA from Brienomyrus brachyistius, 705 nucleotides. RefSeq lists it as uncharacterized. The record is from RefSeq and is a predicted model, not a curated record. NCBI's taxonomy places the organism in Eukaryota, Metazoa, Chordata, Actinopteri, Osteoglossiformes, Mormyridae. The transcript is spliced from 4 exons.
CUAUAUGGUCGCUACUCGUACCGGUUACAUACAUAUGAAAUAACACCCUUUAGUCACCAUUACUGUUAUGAUUGCUGGACAGAGACGCAGGAACUGGGAGACGAUGAAUCAGGAUCGAAGGGUUUAUUUGGAAUCACUCCAAAUGCAGGACACAAGACAUCAAUGACAGACCAGGGGGUAAUAUCCGUACGUCGCUUAAAUCACCCGAGAUCAGAUGCCUUAUCCUGGAUAAGUCGAUUUUUCAAACGCAGCUGUGUAGUACAUUAUUCUAGCUGGAUCCAUUCAUCCGAGAUGAUUGCACGCACCUGCGCUGCUUGAAAAGCCCAUAUAUAUCGAGUUUAGAAAACUUGAUCAGCAAGUCCUUGAUAGGCUGCAACAAAAUGAGGAAAGGAAGGACGCACCUUUUCACAGAAGCGGAGCAGGACCUCCUACUAGAAGGAUAUGAAGAAUUUCAAGAGCUAAUAAGCACAAGAGUUACUGAUGGAGUAAUCUGUUGUGGAACCGCCAGACACCCAUGAAAUGGAUGAAGACACCAUGUCAGCUGUCACAGGGGGCCUAUGAGCAAUGCAGAAAAUCACCAGAGUGAGCCGACUGCAUCCACAGCCACAGCUCAGUUUACCUCUGUAAGAUGCUUCAGUAUUUGCCAACCAGUUAUUGAAAAAUUGGAGUAAGAAUCAUUCUUCUCAUUAAAUGAAAAUGUCUUUA